Triticum aestivum (bread wheat) is the source of this 900-nucleotide long non-coding RNA. RefSeq lists it as uncharacterized. The transcript is spliced from 3 exons. Lineage: Eukaryota; Viridiplantae; Streptophyta; Magnoliopsida; Poales; Poaceae. The record is from RefSeq and is a predicted model, not a curated record.
CACAGGUCAGUUCUCUGAACCUAAAAAAAAAGGUCAGUUCUCUGAAAAAAAAGGUCAGUUAUCUGCCUCUGUCUGUCGACCGGAGCGGCACCGCGCCGCCGCCCCUCCUCCCAUCUCUGGCCCCGCGACCCGCCGAACGCCGACCGAAGGACUGCGAGGGCGUCGGGGCAGCGCACAACCCGAACACCCGGCAAUCGUGCUUGCCUCGCCCAGCCCAAUCGUCACGAGCAUCCAUGGCGGCGCCUGAAUCCGGCAGCCACGGCCGCAAACAGCACACGCCGGCAGGCGGCACACUUCACGCCUCCACAGCUCCUCCCCUAUUGCGCCGGCGAGUAGCACCGACCGUAGCAUCACUACAUCAACAUACGGUACUCUGCAGGCAGCAGCACCGUUCCAAAAAUAAAGAACAAGUCUGGUGAUUGAAAUGUUUGUGCACCCAUUCCUCAUUCCUUUUGCUUACAAAAGAAAUAUCAUGGAGUUAAACUGUGUUAUGUCAAGGUAUCACCAUGGCGAGAUCCCCUUUGCUGCUAACCAGGAACUUGAGAAUUGUUUCGAUGCUGAAAACUAUAAGUGAGAGCACUCUGAAGUUUGAUGUGCACUUGACGCUGGAUCAUUGGACUUCCCCUGUUGAGUUCGAAUUUGAUUCUGCUAAUUCUGAUGUAGCGCCAGCAUGUAACAACAUCUAUGCUGAUGUUCGCAAAUUUCCUUCUUGGAUUAUCUUCUGUGUAAGUUCCUGCAAAUUGGUAUAGGUGCAGUGCACUGGCUCAUGGUCUUGCUGCCCAGGCGCAUCAGAUUUGGUAAUCUAUGGAUGGGGAAUGUCCCUCCAUUGUUGAAUUGGCUUGUAAUGACUAUGUAACUCUGAUUCCGUAUGACCAUUCAAAAAAAGAAAAAGGAAACUGA